UAGGGAAUCUUCCACAAUGGGCGAAAGCCUGAUGGAGCAACGCCGCGUGUGUGAUGAGGGUUUCGGCUCGUAAAACACUGUUGUAAGAGAAGAAUGACAUUGAGAGUAACUGUUCAAUGUGUGACGGUAUCUUACCAGAAAGGAACGGCUAAAUACGUGUCAG
This 163-nucleotide ribosomal RNA is filed under the name uncultured bacterium. Its description in RNAcentral is "partial 16S ribosomal RNA". It matches the Rfam family "Bacterial small subunit ribosomal RNA", at positions 355 to 511 of the family's 1533-position model. The record is from RNAcentral.